UACGUAGGGUGCAAGCGUUGUCCGGAAUUAUUGGGCGUAAAGAGCUCGUAGGCGGUUUGUUGCGUCGGCUGUGAAAUCCCGAGGCUCAACCUCGGGUCUGCAGUCGAUACGAGCAAACUAGAGUGUUGCAGGGGAGACUGGAAUUCCUGGUGUAGCGGUGAAAUGCGCAGAUAUCAGGGGGAACACCGGUGGCGAAGGCGGGUCUCUGGGCAACAACUGACGCUGAGGAGCGAAAGCGUGGGGAGCGAACAGG
Molecule: ribosomal RNA, 253 nt
Filed under: uncultured bacterium
Lineage: Bacteria
Description: partial 16S ribosomal RNA
Rfam family: Bacterial small subunit ribosomal RNA
Source: RNAcentral